This 493-nucleotide ribosomal RNA is filed under the name uncultured bacterium. RNAcentral describes it as "partial 16S ribosomal RNA". It matches the Rfam family "Bacterial small subunit ribosomal RNA", at positions 27 to 507 of the family's 1533-position model. The record is from RNAcentral.
GAGUGAACGCUGGCGGUAGGCCUAACCCAUGCAAGUCGAACGGCAGCACAGUAAGAGCUUGCUCUUACGGGUGGCGAGUGGCGGACGGGUGAGGAAUACAUCGGAAUCUACUUUUUCGUGGGGGAUAACGUAGGGAAACUUACGCUAAUACCGCAUACGACCUACGGGUGAAAGCAGGGGAUCUUCGGACCUUGCGCGAUUGAAUGAGCCGAUGUCGGAUUAGCUAGUUGGCGGGGUAAAGGCCCACCAAGGCGACGAUCCGUAGCUGGUCUGAGAGGAUGAUCAGCCACACUGGAACUGAGACACGGUCCAGACUCCUACGGGAGGCAGCAGUGGGGAAUAUUGGACAAAGGGCGCAAGCCUGAUCCAGCCAUACCGCGUGGGUGAAGAAGGCCUUCGGGUUGUAAAGCCCUUUUGUUGGGAAAGAAAAGCAGCAGGUUAAUACCCCGCUGUUCUGACGGUACCCAAAGAAUAAGCACCGGCUAACUUCGUG